Long non-coding RNA from Meriones unguiculatus (Mongolian gerbil), 9491 nucleotides. RefSeq lists it as uncharacterized. The transcript is spliced from 5 exons. The record is from RefSeq and is a predicted model, not a curated record. NCBI's taxonomy places the organism in Eukaryota, Metazoa, Chordata, Mammalia, Rodentia, Muridae.
AUCUCACGGAGCCCUGCUGACCUAACGCCUGGGCUGCGGAGGCUGCCAUCUGCCCGCAGCCUCUCCUAGGUAAUUACACCAGUCUCUCAAGGCCUGGAACAAGGCGGAUGUCAGCAUCCUUUCCUUCAUCUUGGAGGGCAAUGCUUCUUUCUUUUGCUCAUUUGGAGCAACCUAUCCUCAUGGUCUCCAGGUUUGCCUCGAUGUUGCCGUCAUAAAAACCAUGAGCACAAGCAACCCAGGGGCCAGGAAUGAGUUAACUUGGCUUCCACUUCCAUGUUGCAGCCCAUCACUGAGGGAAGUGAGGGCAGGAAUUCAAGCAGGACCCUGGAAGCAGGAACUGAAGCAGAGACAAUGGAGGAACACUGCUUACUGGCUUGCUCCCUCUGGCCUGUUCAGCUAUCUUUCUCAUACAGCCCAUCUGUCCAGAGAAGGUGCUUCCUACAGUGGGCGGGGCCCAACUACAUCAAUUAGCAAUCAAGAACACGGCCCACAGACAUGUUCACAGGCCAAUCUGAGGGAGCUUCUGCAUUCAUUUUUCCUUUCUGUGACCUGCAAAUUAUGUCCAGUUUUAUGAAUGUCUCACAGAAAAAAAAAAAACAAAAGAAAGAAGGAAGGAGGAAAAACGAGAGAAGAGAAGAGAAGAGAAGAGAAGAGAAGAGAAGAGAAGAGAAGAGAAGAGAAGAGAAUAGAGAGCUCAGGACCGCCUGGCCAGAAGACACCACUACUCAUAGCAGAACAAACAACCUUUCUACCUCAGUUAAGAUUCCAUCUUCCGGAAGGACUGUAUUUUGAGGCAAUUCCUCCCAAGCCACUGAGGGAGAAACUGGAAGGAGAUGCAUGCCCAUAUGCAGAAGGAGGAGAAGGAGGAAGAGGAGGAGGAGGAGCAGGAGGAGGAGGAAGAGGAGCAGGAGGAGGAGAAGAAGGACUCUGAACAAGGGAUGCUCUUAGGCCAAGAGUCUGGAAGAAACCUGUGGAGAGUCUGAUUGGACAGAUACAGACAACCGAGUCAUUCUAAAAAUUUCCACUACACUCUUAAACUACUUACGAAGUGUACACUUAGUUAUAGAAAUCUAGGUGGAAUAGAACAAGUCAAAGUAAACACCACCUUCUCUGGCCUGUGUAGCUCUGUUCACUGAAUAUUGUGAAGAAAUGUGCAUAACAGUUGGGUGGCUGGUGAGUUAAGGGUGAGUCUGGGUGUGGAUGUUCCUGUCCGUCCAUCCUCUGAAUAAUCACCAAACAUGACAUGAUGCCAUCCAUAGAAACACAUAUUCCAAGCGCAACCCAGAAGGAAAGGAAUGGUAAGGUUGGAAAUGCUGGUUCAAGCUAAGAGAAUCGAAUUCCGUGUGGUUGAUUGCUACUGAUUUGGAGUAGCAGAAAAUCAUGCAUUCAAAGGGCAUAUCUCGUGUCUUACAUCUUACUUAUUAGAGGUAAAAUAAAUAUUCAGGGGCUGAGAGAUUUCCCGGAAUUCUUCCAGAGGACUUGGGUUUGAUUCACAGCCAUCUGCAGCUUCGCUUUCAGGGACUCUGAUGCCGUCUUCUGACCUCUGAAGGCAGCAGGCACACCAGCAGGGCUCAGACAUAUGCAGGCAGGCAAAUCACCUGCGCACAUGAAAGAGAAGUGCAAGCAGAUUACAACAAUAUUCCAGCCCCUUUCUUCUCCUCCUCAUUCAUCACUUCCGAAGGGUAGACAGACACGUGGGCCAGGGCUGUUAAAAAUGAUAAUCAUUUUAAGCUCGUAUUAGUCUUGAAACAGAUAAAUUUAUCCUUCUGUUAGUAAGGAGACCACUGCUAAAGGUCUCCUGCUAUAGUUUAAAAUAAAGUGGGGAAAUUCAAUAAACACCAACUUCAGUGCAUUUUUCAGCUCUAAUUUUAGCACGCGGACCACGAAACCACUGUGGCAACGAGAGUGAUGGCUGUCAUCACCCUGGGUGUUGGAGUGCGGGCUCCGCAUUUGUAUGAGAAAAUUCGGGGAUUAUUUAAGCACUGUGUUUUCCUAUGCACAAAUUGCCUGCCUGUUUGUGAUAAAAAUGAGCUGACAGCCUUUGGCUGUUUUUAUAUCAAAUUUAGUACCAAAAUGUCCCUAGUUAACAGGCCUCCCUACUUUCAGCCCACAUGCAUUUUUUAUUUUUUUCUUUUUCAGAAAAAUGGAUUCUUUGGGACUCAGCAACUUCUUUCCCUCUUUAGCUCUCUAUUUUCCCUGCUUCUUCUUCUUCUUCUUCUUCUUCUUCUUCUUCUUCUUCUUCUUCUUCUUCUUCUUCUUCUUCUUCUUCUUCUUCUUCUCUUUCUUCUUCUUCUUCUCUUUCUUCUUCUUCUUCUUUUUCUUCUUCUUCUUCUUCUUCUUCUUCUUCUUCUUCUUCUUCUUCUUAUCACCUACAUACAGAAAAUUUCACAAAUUAUAAGCAUAAACUUUCAUGGACUGUAAACACCAGUACUUCUGAAGAGUAGCCAGAGGAAGACUAAUCCUUCAGUCUGUUUUUGCCAGGACAGCCCAUUCUUCAUACAUUUCUGAAAGUAGUAUUAAAGGCUUAUGAAAACAAAUGAGAACUUCAAGUUAUGUGUAUUUCUUUUGUGUGUGUGCCGGGGGAAGGUGGGUGAGUGGAUGUUCCACAGGCCAGGUGUGGAGGUCAGAAGGCAACUUCCUGUCUCCCCCUCCCCCGUGGGUUCCAGAGGACAGAACUCUGAUUCUCAAGUUUGGCAACAGGCGACUUAUGCUGAGCCAUCUUCUUGGCCCUGAUGUUUUAUGUUAUGAAGCUAGAGGCGUGGUUCCCUGAGGCUUGCACCCACCUCUAACUCCCUUGGCCUCCACGGCACCAGCACCUCUCUGCAAAUCCCCAUACACAGACAUAAAAAUGUAAAAGUUCAAAUAGUAACAUCCAUGUUUGGUGCAUACCUUUGAGACUAGUACUUGGGAAGCAACAGAGGGUAGAUCUCUGUGAGUGUAUGCCCAAUCUUGUCUUAUCUAUCUACUUCCAGACCAGACAGAGCCACACACAGAGACCCUGUCUCAAAAAAAAAAUCUUUUAAUUUCUCUUUUCUUUGAGAAUUUUAUACAAUAUAUGAUAAUCAUAUUCUUUUCUCUUCCCAAAUUUCUCCAAGAUCUUUCCCACUUCCUUAUCCACCCAAAUUCAUGCUCUUUCUUUUUUAAUAUAAAUUACAUUUUUAUUAUUAUAAUUUAUUACAGUUUAUUCAGUUUGUGUCCUGGCGGUGGCCCCCUCCCUCAGAUCCUCCCAAUUCCACCCUCCCUCCCAUAGUCUGCUGAUAGGGGAGGUCCUCAUCCCCUUCUAUUUGACCCUAGCCUAUCAGGUCUCAUCAGGACUGGCUGCAUUGUCUUCCUCUGUGGCUUGGCAUGGCUGGACCACCUAGGGGAGGUGAUCAGAGAGCCAGCCACUGAGAUUAUACCAGAGAAAGUCCUUGCUCUCCUUACUAGGGACCCCACUUGGAGACUGAGGUGCCAUGGGCUACAUCUGAGCCAGGGUUUUAUGUUCUCCUUAUGCAUUGUCUUUGGUUGGGGUAUCAUUCUCUUCAGGGCUCCCAAGGCUCAGAUUUUAUGGCUCUGUUUAUCUCCUUUUGGAGCUCCUGUCUCCUCCAGGCCUUUCCAUCUCCCCCUUCUUUCAUAAGAUUCCCUGCACAAUGCCCAAAAUUGGGCUAUAAAUCUUAGCAUCUGCUUUGAUAUCCUACAGGGUAGAGUUUUUCAGAGGCCCUCUGUGAUAGGCUCCUGUCCUGUUCCCUGUUUUCUUCCUCUUCUGAUGUCCAUCCUCUUUGUCUUUCUGAAUGAGGAUGGAACAUCUUACCCAGAGUCCUCCUUCUUGAUUACCUUCUUUUUUAAAAUUCUUAUUUUAUUUUUAUUAAUUACAGUUUAUUCACUUUGUAUCCAGCUGUAGUCCCUUCCCCUCCCAAUCCCACCCUCCCUCUCUCUUCUUCCCCUAUGCCCUUCCCUCAGUCCAGUGAUAGGGGAGGUCCUCCUGCCCUUCCAUAUGACCUUAGCCUAUCAGGUCUCAUCAGGACUGGCUUCUUUGUCUUCCUCUGUGGACUGGUAAGGCUGCUCCCCCCUCAGGUGGAGGUGAUCAAAGAGCCAGCCUAUGAGUUCAUGUCAGAGACAGUCUUGUUCCUAUUAUUGGGGAACCCUCUUGGACACUGAGCUGCCAUGGGCUACUUCUGUUGAGGGAUUCUAAGUUAUCUCCAUGUAUGGCCCUUGUCUGAGAAAAGACCACUGUGCCCACAUUUCUUGGUUCUGUUGCUCUCCUUGUAGAGCUCCUGUUCCCUCCAGGUCUUCCUAUCUCCCCCUUCUUUCAUAAGAUUCCCUGCACUCUGCCCAAAGUUUGGCUAUGAAUCUCAGUGUAUGUUUUGAUACCCUGCUGGGUAGAGUCUUUCAGAGGCCCUCUGUGAUAGGGUCCUGUCCUGGACAUUCCCUGUUUUCUCCCUUUUCUGAUGUCCAUCUCGUUUGCCUUUCUGAAUGAGGAUUGAACAUCUUACCCAGAGUCCUCCUUCUUGGUUAGCUUCCUUAGGUGUACAGAUUUUAGUAUGAUUAUCCUGUAUUAUAUGUCUAAUAUCCACGUAUAAGGGAGUAUAUACCCUGUGUGUCUUUCUGCUUCUGGGAUACCUCACUCAGGAUGAUCUUUUCCAGUUCCCAUCAUUUGCCUGCAAAUUUCAUGAUUUCCUGGUUUUUAAUUGCUGAGUAGUAUUCUAUUGUGUAAACGUACCAUAAUUUCUGUAUCCAUUCCUAAACUGAGGGGCAUCUGGGCUGUUUCUAGCUUCUGGCUAUUACAAAUAAAGCUGCUAUAAACAUGGUUGAGCAAAUGUCCUUGUGUACUUGAGCAUCUUUUGGAUAUAUGUCUAGGAGUGGUACAGCUGGAUCUUGAAGAAGCAACUAUUUCUAAUUGUCUGAGAAAGUGCCAGACUGAUUUCCAAAGUGGUUGUACAAGUUUACAUUCCCACCAGCAAUGGAGGAGGGUUCCCUUUUCUUCACAUCCUCUCCAGCAUGUGUUGUCACUUGAGUUUUUGAUCUUAGCCCUUCUGAUGGAUGUAAGGUGAAAUCUCAGGGUUGUUUUGAUCUGUUCAUUCUCUUUCUUUCUCUUAAAACAAACAACAACAAAGCAUGGAGUCUAUUUUGUCUUGAUAGACUGCUCCUGAGCUCGGGGCCUGCCCUGGUCUGUGAAUAAUAUACCUAGUGUCACUCUAAUGAAGAAAACUGACUUUUUUCAUUUCCCAGCAGGUAUCUGUUGCAAAUAACUCUUUGGCUAGGGGUGGGGUACCAUGUCUGCUUUCCCUCCUCCAUUCUGAGAUUUGUGUCUAGCUUGAUCUUGUGAAGGUCUUGUGCAUGCUGGCACAGAAUCUGUUUUUACUGUGUAUUGUUAGCAUGCAUAAAAUGCAUCUCUACAUAAGCUUUCAUGAAGGUGAAUUAUUUCCAAAAUCCUUUUACCACUAAUUAAUUCAUACUGUGUAUGAAUCUCAUAUAUGUGGUAUCAUAUGUCUGUCUUGUUUCAUUUCUUUCAGUAACAGUUGUAGGUAAUGUUACAUUAUCAUGUCUUACAGGAAUGUACUAUAUUUUAUGGGCUGUAUUGUUUGUUGUCUCAAGUGUUUAAAUAUGAAUAAACCCAUAUGAAUACACAUACUUGAUCAGUGUACAUCAGUACCUGUGCUUCUUGUGUGUCAACCAAGUCGUAUACUUGCUGGUUCAUAGCACCUAUCGAAUUUCAUCCUUAGCAAACACCCACCAUGUCCAUCAAUUUAAAGGUGGUCUAGUCUAUUCAUUGCCACACUGACACUUGGUAUUUUCAGUACUUUUAUCUGCUAAAAUAAACUUUCACUUCCCUAGUAAGUAGGAAUGGGUUCUCCUUUUAGUUUUAAUUUUUCAUUCUGAGGUAACUGAGCAAGAUGGCUGUCCUCCCUAUGCUCCUGAUUAAACUCUGUGCAGGUUUCUUCCUGACUCUUAGCCUCAGGGAUCCUCUUGUUUGGAGCCUUUCCUCUUCUUCUUCUUCUUCUUCUUCUUCUUCUUCUUCUUCUUCUUCUUCUUCUUCUUCUUCUCCUUCUCCUUCUCCUUCUCCUUCUCCUUCUCCUUCUCCUCCUUCUCCUUCUCCUCUCUCUUCUUCCUCUUCUUCCUCUUCUUCUUUUCUGGUCAUGCAUAUUCUUCCAAGGUCUAUUCAGCUGUACAACAUGGAAAGGUCUUCCUCUAGGACUUAGGAGCCAUCGUCUUGAAAUGGAACCAUUAAUGAAGAUGAUGUUGAGUGUCUGUAGCUGAUCAGGGAUUCAGCUUCCUCGUGUCAUUUAGUAGGUAAAGCUGUUUUAUGACCUUGUCCAUCCUCUUCCUCCAUGGAGCUCUGGAUCUCGUCCGCUGGCUCGUUACAGCAGUAGAGUUGAGAGCAACUUCUUUUGUCUGGCGAAAGAUUCUAGAAUGAAAUCUCCUUGCUGUUUGUCUCCAUCUGGUGCAGGUUUUUUGUUUUGUUUUCUUUGUUUUGUUUUGUUUUGAUAAGACUAAGGGGAUGGAUUCAUAUUACAUGUGCUUAUUGAAGACUUAGUUACCCUUCUAUUCAUAAUGUACCCUGAAAAAAGAAUUCAUUGUUUUCCUACUGCACUCAUGCCUUUACUUAUGGGCUACAGUGUUCUUUUAAUUACCUGCAUUGGGGCCCCUCAGCAAUGUUACUGUGCCCUUAAAUCAAGUAACCAUAUAUGUGUGUACUACCCUGCAUUCUAUCCUGAUAGUUUCAACUUGGGCAAACAUAUGCCACAACUAUAGCAUUCUUAGUUACUCAAAUCUUGUAGGGUAUGGUAUAUGUUACUGGCACUGUGUUAAUUCUAUUUGUCUUAAUGUGAAUUUUAGAAUUAGCAUGCAAAUUUAUAUGAAAAUUCAUUUGCUGAUUUCUUAAUAGGUUUGCAUUGAAUGUGUAGGCCAAUUUGGGCAGUUUUUACAGGCUUAAAUGCUACUUUACAGCUCAUAUGACAAAGCUCUUAAUUGAUUUCAAUUUGUCAGCAAACUGUUUUAGUUUUUCUGUGUAGUUACACUAAAAACAUUUUUGUAUGAUGCAUCAUAGACAUUCGAUGCUCUGAUCUUGAACAAUAUUCAAACAUUUUUAUGUUAUAAUAAUUUAUUAACGGAAUGUAUAGAUACACGUUUCACGCGGACCUUAUGAACUCUGACCUGCGGAAACUCUUUUUGUAAUUCUAAAUGUAUCCAUAUUUUGAGUGUAUUAUAUGUCUGACCACAUUAUGUUGAAAUAAGUUUUGUUUUUCUUUUUUCAGCCCUCUCUCUUUCUCUCUCUCUGUUUUCAUAAUAGUGGCCGAGAUCUCUAGUGCUGUGGUAAGUAGACAUCACUGGCAAUUGGGCCGGAGGCGAGGUUCAGGGCUUAUGUGCAUGGGGUGCUUUAGCAGAGGAUCCAGGCAUAGCACCCACAUAACUGCACAAAACAGCCUAUACCGUCAGUUCCCAGGUAUCACAUGCCUUCUUCUGGCCUCCGCAGGUGCUGCAUGAAUGUGGGACACAUACAUACAUUUGGUGACACAGUCAUACAAAUAAAAUAAGCACACAUUUUAAAAAGAAAUAGAAAAUGCAUUUUCACAAUUUCUUGAUCAGAAGGAUUACAUAGUUGUGUGGUUGUUGUAUUUGUCUAGUUUUUUCUUGACUCUUUUUUUUUUAAAUAUAGAAAUCUGGAUCAUGCUGAGGGGUUUUCUGCCCCUAGCUUCUUAUCCGCUAAUAACAAUUAACUGAAAGACAGAUUACUUUCUUGAUGAGAGCUUGCCUAUCUUCAGAUUGCUUUUACCUUUUACCUCAUACACAUAUUAAGAUCGUGGCUAAAAGCUUGAAGUGUGUAGAAAAUCCAUUGUCCCUGGUUGACCUUGAACUCUACUCCUUUUCUCUCUUAACAUUCUUAAUUUUUUAAAACUACUAGAAGUUGUACCUGUGUCUCAGCCAUUUUCUUUCAACUCCCCGCUGGGCUUUUCAGAUCCUUGGCUUACUACCAAACACAUCUCACUGGAGAGCGAGCAUGUAGCCAGUCUUAAACACAACAAUGGGGUGUCUUUGCCUGACGUCUCCACUCUCUCAAACCUAGACAUCCUGCUUACUCUGCAGCAUCUUGGGCAGAGUUUAAAACCACAUGCAGCUCCCUGGGGGCUCAGGACUUGAAGCAAAUUCCACCACCAUAUUUAAUGGAGAAUUACAAAUGGGUCCAAUCUCAAUGCCCCACAGAGCUCACACGGUGAAUCCUCAGAGACUAUGGCUUCCCCCUCUUCUCAAGAGCCUUAUUAUCCAUUGUGAGCUGAGAAGCAAUAAGAAAAUGUAUUGUGUGCAAAACUGCAUUGCAAGCACACAUAGGGGGAUAGCGUCAUCCUGCUGGGGAUGCCUGUUGGGAUAUGAAGUUAUUACAAUUACGUUUCUUUAGAUGCUGGACAGUAAGGGCUGCCUAGCUCAGUGGACGUCACGAAUGUGCAACUAAACUCCCCGAGAACUAAUCCCAAAUCUUACAAAAGAAAAAAAAAUGUGUUCAUGAACAAAUUGGCCAAGUAGAACUGAAUGUUUUGUGGGUGGUAAGAAAUCUAUUAGGCUGGUGAGAUGGCCCAGUUGGUAAAUGGUUUUGCCACACAAGCCUUGUAGCCUGAUCGGAUCCUGUAAAUCUACACAAAGGGGAAGAAAACUGGCCUCCACAUGUGUGUUGUGGUAUAUGUGCCUCCCUCCCUAUAUCAUAACAUGAUAUGCAUAUAUGUACACACACACACACACCAUAAUUACUGACAUUGGUUGUAUAAGCAUCAGAAAAGAAAAAGCAUAUUUAUGUGUGGGCUGAUAUUUUAUGCUUGGGGAAUAUUGAUUGGUACAAAAUGAACUUGCAAAUUCUAGCAUUUAAAAGUUGGUGCUAGACUGAAACACACACACACACACACAGACACACACACACAAACCCCUCAAGAUAAAAUGUUUCCUUGCAUUCAGCUAGAAGAAGAACAAUCAUACUGCUUUCAGAUUUCUGUAUGGAAAAUGCCUUCUUACUAACCUUUUCAUUACCAACACUUGUGUGUCCAACCCAGUGGAAAUAGUGAACCAUUAAAUACACACACUCACACUUACACAUACACACACACAAACACACACACCAAACUUCUAUAAAUUUUACAAAAAAAAAUUAAACCCAUGAUAUAUGACUCUCCUUGAAGUUGGACAUUUUGUUACAUCCCUUUAAAUAUUCUGAACUACUCCAGAAAGAAGACAUAGAGGAGGAGAGAGACCCAUAGCAAAGAAGGGUGUCAGUGGGAGGAGCAGGAGCGAGAAUGAGGUGCCGGGGGAAAAGACAGGGGUGCCAGUGGAGAAAGAAGCAGGAGGGAGAAUGAAAGAUGAAAAUGACUAAAAUUCAUUAUAUAAAAAUAUGAAACAGUCAAACAAAAAAUGGAAAAUGACUUUGUACAUUAUUCUGAAAGUUAUUAGGUUGAGUAAAUAGGAUUAUUGUAAUUACUAUUAUCUCUUAGUCAUUAUGUAUUUUAUUGUAAAUAAUAUCUUCAUUUCAA